AGAAAAAUGAUUAGUCAUAUAGAAAGUAAUUGACAUAUUGUGCAUCCUGCAAAUAAAUGUUACACGGCAGUUGGUAGCUUUACUUUGAAAUGUAAUCUAUCCAAGUUUCUGUGUAGCUAUAAAGAAAGUUUGACUACAAGAAUGAAUUCACAUCAGUUGGCUGUCCCUCUUUCACAUGGAAUUUAAUAAGGCUUCUUAGAGUUUUCUGUGCUUGAAAGAGAGGCAAAAAAACGAUCUAAAGGCCUUAAACAUGUAAGGAAGAAGGGUGAGGAGAUACUUACGAAGGACCAUUAAGGAAGCUGUAGCUGAACACUGGCCACGGAAAUUUUUGGCCUUAAUUGUGUACUUUCCACUGUCGCUGACUGAUGCAUUUCGGAUUUCAAGGGAGUAUACAUUUCUGGAGCGGCUUAUGCUGACAUUUGAAGAAAUAGAAAUCUAAGACAAAGGAAAAAGAAAAGAAAUGUUGAAGUUCUUCAGAUGUGGAAGACAUGGUGAGGAUUCCUUCAUCUCUGUGACUGGCUUGCUUGAUGGUUAGGGUCUGAUCGCUGCCUGAGACACCAUAUCGGUACUCCUCAGAGUUGAUGAUAGCCAAUGACUCUACUUCCUCCAUCACUGAUUGGCUCAUUCCAUUGUACUUCCAUGCUGUCCCUGGAGGACAGUGUGACAACUGGAGUGCCAGGAGGACCAGGAACUUUGAAUGGAUAUUGGGCUACAGUAGGCUCUGAAUUGAGGUGGCUGCCAUGAGAUAGUCAUGUGUUCAGGAGUAACAUCCAGAAUAUUAAUAGGACCUGUUGGUGGCCCAGGAACAUCAAGAACAGUAAGAUGUACGGCUACUGUUUUGCUACCGGCUGCAUUGGAAACUGUGAUUUGAUAUUCCCCAGUGUCUCUCCUUAAGCAGUUCUUAAUGAGAAUAGACGCCUUGAUGGCUCCUCUGGCAGUUCUUGAUGACCAUGGAUGAGCUAAUGGCUGUGGUCUCAAUGGUGGCUUCUUGAGAUUAUUUACAGCUGUGAUGGUAUAUAAGCCAGUGUCACUCCUGCGAGACUGCGGAAUAACUAAAGUGCAAGUAUCAUCUACCACCAGUUUGUUGACAUGGGUGUCAUAGAGAACAGGUUCUUUGUUAUCAGGCUUCUUUGGAGGAGCUUUAAACCAGGAGCAUGCAGAGAAAUUGCUUUAGCCUCUGAUAAAUAAAACAGACUGCGAGGAAAAUUACAGCGAGGAAAUUACAGACAUCAUCUCCUUUGAACAGGGAAAAGGUAACAGCCAGUAGCCAGUAAUUGGAGAGCCACCAUUGUCCAAAGGAGGAGUCCAGCUCACUAGCAUUGAUCCUUUGGUGCGUGCCAAAACUUUUGGUUUUCCUGGAGGUCCAGGAAGGCGAUAAGGAUCUUGAAUGACUACUUUAUCUGAUUUGCACUCAUCACUGAUUCCAUAUUUAUUCACUGCCCUGACUCGGAACUCAUACUGACCAUUGGGGAUAAGUUUCCAGAUCUAGAAAUUAGAAAAACAGAAAUUUAUUGAAGAGAAUAUACUUAUGUUGGUUUUCACUCAUUUAAAAAUUCAACUUAUUUUGGGAGGGAUGACUGUAAGAAGAAAUAAAUAUAUAGACUCAAAACAUGGGAAGACAGAGAAAAGGAGAAAGCUUUUUUUAAAAUAAAAAUAUGUAGAUGUAUUGUACCUGAUAGUGGAUCUCAAUUAAAAGAGUAUCUGUGUAUCAAAC
Molecule: long non-coding RNA, 1714 nt
Filed under: Homo sapiens (human)
Lineage: Eukaryota; Metazoa; Chordata; Mammalia; Primates; Hominidae
Description: PREDICTED lncRNA (TCONS_00152861)
Source: RNAcentral